Transfer RNA from Balearica pavonina (black crowned-crane), 54 nucleotides. It matches the Rfam family "tRNA", at positions 19 to 71 of the family's 71-position model. Rfam says of the family: Transfer RNA (tRNA) molecules are approximately 80 nucleotides in length. Their secondary structure includes four short double-helical elements and three loops (D, anti-codon, and T loops). Lineage: Eukaryota; Metazoa; Chordata; Aves; Gruiformes; Gruidae. The record is from Rfam.
UAGAGCAUUUGACUGCAGAUCAAGAGGUCCCCGGUUCAAAUCCGGGCGCCCCCU